Molecule: ribosomal RNA, 257 nt
Filed under: uncultured bacterium
Lineage: Bacteria
Description: partial 16S ribosomal RNA
Rfam family: Bacterial small subunit ribosomal RNA
Source: RNAcentral
UACGUAGGGUGCGAGCGUUAAUCGGAAUUACUGGGCGUAAAGCGUGCGCAGGCGGUUCGCUAAGACAGAUGUGAAAUCCCCGGGCUUAACCUGGGAACUGCAUUUGUGACUGGCGGGCUAGAGUAUGGCAGAGGGGGGGUAGAAUUCCACGUGUAGCAGUGAAAUGCGUAGAGAUGUGGAGGAAUACCGAUGGCGAAGGCAGCCCCCUGGGCCCAAUACUGACGCUCAUGCACGAAAGCGUGGGGAGCAAACAGGAU